AUGGCGCUCGCUCCCAGGUCGUCCCUGCGCUCCCUGGUGUUGCUCAUGUCGCACGGGAGGCCACGGCUGAGCUCUUUCUUCUCCUUCACCACCGCCCCAGGAGCCGAUGCUCCUCCGGCCGUCCAGCCCCCAGGUCCUUCAUGCCACAAGCUCCCUGUCGAGGAAGAGUUUGUUCUUAACCCAACUCCUGGUUAUGGUUCAUGUAGCACACCUGACAAGCCUCCCUCCGGCGCCUCCGAGGAUGUGAAACAACGAGAUGUUGAUCCACCACCUCCCGCGCGCGAAGGUGUUGGACACCGAGUUGUCGAUCCACCACGCGGGGGCAGGGGGCGUCGCGCGCCCGACGAGCCAGAGCAGUGCGCCCAGGAGCAUCCCAAGUACCCAGUUCCUGACAAUUCAAGUGACAAGGUCUGCUCCUCCGCUACUCCGCCGCCGGCUCCAGGACCUUGCACCACGGCUGCCCCCGACGUCCAGCCUCCAGUCACCCCAGCUCCGCCAAAUCGUUCAGGCCACAAGCUCCCUGAUCACGAAGAGUCUGUUUUCAACCCACUUCCUGAUCCACCAUCAGGUCACAGGCUUAGCCCUGUAAUCGAAGAGCCUGCCCGGUGCACCCUGGACAACCCCAAAUACCCAACUCCUGAUCGUGGUUCAUGUAGCCCAUCUGAAGGUGCAUCUGGGGACUUGUUGGAAGAUCCUCUGCAUCGGGUGCCUGAUCCACCACGUAAGCCGUAA
This 732-nucleotide ribosomal RNA is filed under the name Triticum aestivum (bread wheat). RNAcentral's name for it is "partial small subunit ribosomal RNA". Lineage: Eukaryota; Viridiplantae; Streptophyta; Magnoliopsida; Poales; Poaceae. The record is from RNAcentral.